CGUGAUAUUGGUUUGGCUCAUC
Molecule: microRNA, 22 nt
Filed under: Nicotiana tabacum (common tobacco)
Lineage: Eukaryota; Viridiplantae; Streptophyta; Magnoliopsida; Solanales; Solanaceae
Description: nta-miR479a
Gene: nta-miR479a
Source: miRBase by way of RNAcentral